This 464-nucleotide ribosomal RNA is filed under the name uncultured bacterium. RNAcentral's name for it is "partial 16S ribosomal RNA". It matches the Rfam family "Bacterial small subunit ribosomal RNA", at positions 339 to 795 of the family's 1533-position model. The record is from RNAcentral.
CUACGGGUUGCAGCAGUGGGGAAUAUUGCACAAUGGGCGCAAGCCUGAUGCAGCCAUGCCGCGUGUAUGAAAAAGGCCUUCGGGUUGUAAAGUACUUUCGGCGGGGAGGAAGGGAGUAAAGUUAAUACCUUUGCUCAUUGACGUUACCCGCAGAAGAAGCACCGGCUAACUCCGUGCCAGCAGCCGCGGUAAUACGGAGGGUGCAAGCGUUAAUCGGAAUUACUGGGCGUAAAGCGCACGCAGGCGGUUUGUUAAGUCAGAUGUGAAAUCCCCGGGCUCAACCUGGGAACUGCAUCUGAUACUGGCAAGCUUGAGUCUCGUAGAGGGGGGUAGAAUUCCAGGUGUAGCGGUGAAAUGCGUAGAGAUCUGGAGGAAUACCGGUGGCGAAGGCGGCCCCCUGGACGAAGACUGACGCUCAGGUGCGAAAGCGUGGGGAGCAAACAGGAUUAGAUACCCCGGUAGUC